CAUGUAAGGGUUGCAUAUUAUUGAUUAUUUUACUUUGUAUUCUUUAGACUCACGGAAAACACUAAUUUAUGGUAGAAUAUUAAUUUCUCAUAAAUAAUAUUAUUUUAAACGAUUCAAAACUAAUAGAAAAGCUCAGACUUGCCUUUAUCUAGUCGACAUUUGAUUCCUUUGGUUUACUAUCGCCAAUGGCAAUUUCCAAGGAUCCAUGCGGAUUACCAGAUUUAUCUUCAUCGCUUUUUAAAAUGUUAAAUAUGAACUUAAUAUAAUUCAGAUGAAAAGGUUUAAUCCAAUAAUAUUAUAUGAAUUGAGAAUAACUGGUUGGACUUAGUUAAUAGUUAAAAGACCAUCUUAGCAAAUGGGGAAGAGAAAAUGGCUAAGAGUUAAGCAUUGAAUAAAUACAUUAUUUACUUUGAUUUCUAUAAAACAAGCUGAUAUUCAUCAUAGCCUCAAAUUACUUAUUAUUUUAAGUAUGGUGUGGUAAAGGAAUUGAGUCGCGCGCGUUUAUUUCUAUUUCUACUACACACCAACAACGAAGUUUACCUAUCGCCCCUUGAUUAAACUAGUGGACUUGCAAAC
Molecule: non-coding RNA, 576 nt
Organism: Schizosaccharomyces pombe (fission yeast)
Lineage: Eukaryota; Fungi; Ascomycota; Schizosaccharomycetes; Schizosaccharomycetales; Schizosaccharomycetaceae
Source: the annotation of a GenBank genome assembly